UGCAGAAUCCCGUGAACCAUCGAGUCUUUGAACGCAAGUUGCGCCCCAAGCCUUUAGGCCGAGGGCACGUCUGCCUGGGUGUCACGCAUCGUCGCCCCCGUCAAACCCCGAGCCCUCGGGCCGGGAUCGACGCGCGGGCGGAAAUUGGCCUCCCGUGCGCUCACCGCUCGCGGUUGGUCUAAAUUCGAGUCCUCGGCGAUGAAGCGCCGCGACGAUCGGUGGGAACGCCUUUGGCUGCCUCGUUCGGAGUCGCGCGCGCUCGUCGAUCGGGACGCUUUCGACCCUUUAAGGCAUCGCGACGUCGAUGCUCGCAUCGCGACCCCAGGUCAGGCGGGAUCACCCGCUGAGUUUAAGCAUAUCAAUAAGCGGAGGAAAAGAAACUUACCAGGAUUCCCUUAGUAACGGCGAGCGAACCGGGAAAAGCCCAGCUUGAAAAUCGGUCGCCCUCGGCGUCCGA
RNAcentral lists this ribosomal RNA (457 nucleotides) under Malva neglecta. RNAcentral's name for it is "eukaryotic LSU rRNA". The stretch from base 317 to 457 matches the Rfam family "Eukaryotic large subunit ribosomal RNA", at positions 1 to 141 of the family's 3401-position model. The record is from RNAcentral. Lineage: Eukaryota; Viridiplantae; Streptophyta; Magnoliopsida; Malvales; Malvaceae.